RNAcentral lists this ribosomal RNA (423 nucleotides) under uncultured Nitrosospira sp. RNAcentral describes it as "bacterial SSU rRNA". It matches the Rfam family "Bacterial small subunit ribosomal RNA", at positions 207 to 622 of the family's 1533-position model. The record is from RNAcentral. Lineage: Bacteria; Pseudomonadati; Pseudomonadota; Betaproteobacteria; Nitrosomonadales; Nitrosomonadaceae.
CAAGACCUUGCGCUUUUGGAGCGGCCGAUGUCUGAUUAGCUAGUUGGUGAGGUAAAGGCUUACCAAGGCUUCGAUCAGUAGCUGGUCUGAGAGGACGACCAGCCACACUGGGACUGAGACACGGCCCAGACUCCUACGGGAGGCAGCAGUGGGGAAUUUUGGACAAUGGGGGAAACCCUGAUCCAGCAUGCCGCGUGAGUGAAGAAGGCCUUCGGGUUGUAAAGCGCUUGCAGCCAGAACGAAAAGGGCACGGCUAAGACCCGUGACAAAUGACGGUACCGGAAGAAGAAGCACCGGCUAACUACGUGCCAGCAGCCGCGGUAAUACGUAGGGUGCAAGCGUUAAUCGGAAUUACUGGGCGUAAAGCGUGCGCAGGCGGUUUUGUAAGUCAGAUGUGAAAUCCCCGGGCUUAACCUGGGAACU